This 309-nucleotide non-coding RNA is filed under the name Pelodiscus sinensis (Chinese soft-shelled turtle). RNAcentral's name for it is "Eukaryotic small subunit ribosomal RNA". It matches the Rfam family "Eukaryotic small subunit ribosomal RNA", at positions 616 to 1116 of the family's 1831-position model. Lineage: Eukaryota; Metazoa; Chordata; Testudines; Trionychidae. The record is from Rfam by way of RNAcentral.
CAGUUAAAAUGGUACUUCUACUUAAAUAUUUUUCAUGGUCUUUCUCCAGACAGACUUAAAUACCUUAUCUCUCUUUACUCUUCCCCCAAUAAUGUUCAUUAGAUGUUCACCUAGUGCUGCCCUCCUCUCUGUCUCUUGCUGUGUCUUCGUUGUCAACAAAAAAGUUUCUUACGAGAAUGAAAGUCAGAGGGUUGAAAAUGAUCAUUUACUGUUGUAGUUCCAACCAUAAACAAUGCUGACUCAUGAUCCAGCAGUGUAACUCCAUUAUCCACCAGGCAGCCUAUAGGAAACCAAAUUCUUUGGGUUCCG